RNAcentral lists this ribosomal RNA (460 nucleotides) under uncultured bacterium. RNAcentral's name for it is "partial 16S ribosomal RNA". It matches the Rfam family "Bacterial small subunit ribosomal RNA", at positions 338 to 795 of the family's 1533-position model. The record is from RNAcentral.
CCUACGGGUGGCAGCAGUGAGGAAUAUUGGUCAAUGGACGAGAGCCUGAACCAGCCAAGUAGCGUGAAGGAUGACUGCCCUAUGGGUUGUAAACUUCUUUUAUAUGGGAAUAAAAUGCGCCACGUGUGGUGCUUUGCAUGUACCUUAUGAAUAAGGAUCGGCUAACUCCGUGCCAGCAGCCGCGGUAAUACGGAGGAUCCGAGCGUUAUCCGGAUUUAUUGGGUUUAAAGGGAGCGUAGGCGGAUUGUUAAGUCAGUUGUGAAAGUUUGCGGCUCAACCGUAAAAUUGCAGUUGAAACUGGCAGUCUUGAGUACAGUAGAGGUAGGCGGAAUUCGUGGUGUAGCGGUGAAAUGCUUAGAUAUCACGAAGAACUCCGAUUGCGAAGGCAGCUCACUGGACUGCAACUGACGCUGAGGCUCGAAAGUGUGGGUAUCAAACAGGAUUAGAUACCCGGGUAGUC